RNAcentral lists this ribosomal RNA (387 nucleotides) under uncultured bacterium. RNAcentral's name for it is "bacterial SSU rRNA". It matches the Rfam family "Bacterial small subunit ribosomal RNA", at positions 30 to 417 of the family's 1533-position model. The record is from RNAcentral.
AUUGAACGCUGGCGGCAUGCCUUACACAUGCAAGUCGAACGGCAGCGGGCCUUCGGGUGCCGGCGAGUGGCGAACGGGUGAGUAAUGCAUCGGAACGUGCCAUUGAGUGGGGGAUAACGUAGCGAAAGUUACGCUAAUACCGCAUAUUCUGUGAGCAGGAAAGCAGGGGGACCGCAAGGCCUUGCGCUCUUUGGGCGGCCGAUGUCAGAUUAGCUAGUUGGUGAGGUAAAGGCUUACCAAGGCGACGAUCUGUAGCGGGUCUGAGAGGAUGAUCCGCCACACUGGAACUGAGACACGGUCCAGACUCCUACGGGAGGCAGCAGUGGGGAAUUUUGGGACAAUGGGCGCAAGCCUGAUCCAGCCAUGCCGCGUGAGUGAAGAAGGCCU